GGCAAGUUGUUGAAUCUACUCGUUACCUUGAGCAAACUACCGGCCUCAUAAUGCCGGAGUCGAGGGUUCGAGUCCCUCCCUUUCCACCA
This 89-nucleotide transfer RNA is filed under the name Gammaproteobacteria bacterium. Its description in RNAcentral is "tRNA-Met". Lineage: Bacteria; Pseudomonadati; Pseudomonadota; Gammaproteobacteria. The record is from RNAcentral.